Molecule: small nucleolar RNA, 130 nt
Organism: Trichomalopsis sarcophagae
Lineage: Eukaryota; Metazoa; Arthropoda; Insecta; Hymenoptera; Pteromalidae
Rfam family: Small Cajal body specific RNA 8
About the family: scaRNAs are a specific class of small nuclear RNAs which localise to the Cajal bodies and guide the modification of RNA polymerase II transcribed spliceosomal RNAs U1, U2, U4, U5 and U12. U92 belong to the H/ACA box class of guide RNAs as it has the predicted hairpin-hinge-hairpin-tail structure, conserved H/ACA-box motifs and is found associated with GAR1.
Source: Rfam
CUGGAGAUUGAUACGCAAGUGCGAGGUAGCUUUAUCACACUUUGCCACAAAAUCUCCAAAGAAUAAAGAGCUUUCUGAUGACUGUAACUUGUCAAGUGUUAAUUUACAGACAGAUACGGAGCUUACAUUA